UACGUAGGGCGCAAGCGUUGUCCGGAAUUAUUGGGCGUAAAGAGCUCGUAGGCGGUCUGUUACGUCCGCUGUGAAAACCCAGGGCUUAACCCUGGGCUUGCAGUGGAUACGGGUAGACUAGAGGCAGGUAGGGGAGAAUGGAAUUCCCGGUGUAGCGGUGAAUGCGCAGAUAUCGGGAGGAACACCGGUGGCGAAGGCGGUUCUCUGGGCCUGACCUGACGCUGAGGAGCGAAAGCGUGGGGAGCAAACAGG
RNAcentral lists this ribosomal RNA (252 nucleotides) under uncultured bacterium. Its description in RNAcentral is "partial 16S ribosomal RNA". It matches the Rfam family "Bacterial small subunit ribosomal RNA", at positions 524 to 776 of the family's 1533-position model. The record is from RNAcentral.